RNAcentral lists this long non-coding RNA (1212 nucleotides) under Numida meleagris (helmeted guineafowl). Its description in RNAcentral is "lncRNA (ENSNMEG00000013149.1)". The record is from RNAcentral. Lineage: Eukaryota; Metazoa; Chordata; Aves; Galliformes; Numididae.
CUUGGAAGCUGUGCCCACAUUAGUCUCCCUCUCCUGCCUCCAGGACAAGGACAAUGCGAGAAGACAGCUCUAUCAAGCAUGUGGGCUUCACCCUCAGGCUGAGUACCAUGAGGUCGAUGUCACCUGAGUUUCCAGGUAAUUAUGGCCUUCCUGCCCCAUCUGCCAAGAUAGUUUGCUACCUGCAUUCAGACUCACCUUCUUCUUGGGACUGACAGCUUCACAAGCCCUUUCCACAGGAUAAACAUAUCAUGUAUCAAAGACCUGUUCCCUGAAAAAAAUAGGAACUAAGACAAGCUGUCUGAAGUCAACCUGCUAUGAUUCAUCAGGGUGCCAUGGAUUAACAGCAACUGUUUUCAUGAGGGGUAGGAUUAUUGCAUGACUGGCUAGGCAAUGAACGGAAGCUGAAAUACUUUCAACAAACACACAGAAUCACAAAAUCGUAGGGGUUGAAAAGGACCUCAGGAGGCCAUUGAGUCUAACACCUGUUAAAGCAGGUUCCCUACAGUAGGUUGCACAGAAAAGCAUCCAGUUAGGUUUGAAUAUCUCCAGUGAAGGAGACUCCACAAUUUCUCUGGGCAGCCUGUUCCAGUGCUCUGUCACCCUCACAGUAAAGAAAUUCUUCAUGUUUGUAUGGAACUUUCUGUGUUCCGGUUUUUGCCCAUUGCCUCUUGUUCUAUUGAUGUACACACUGAAAAGAGCCUGGCCCCAUCCACUUGGCUCCUGCCCUUUAGAUAUUUAUAAACACUGAUGAGAUCCCCUCUCAGUUUUCUCUUACCCAGACUGAACAGUCCCAGCUCUCUCAACCCGUCCACAUAAAGGAGAUGCUCCAGGCCCCUCAUCAUCUUUGUGGCCCUCCACUGGACCCUUUCUAGAAGAUCCCUGGUUUUUUUUGUUGUUUUUUUUUUAAACUGUGGAGCCGAGAACUGGAUACAGUAUUCCAGAUGUGGCCCUCAGAUGCAGGACCCUACAUUUGCUCUUGUUGAAGUUCAUCAGGUUUCUCUCCACCCAACUCAUGAUGGAAGAUUGACAAAUGUGCUCCCUGUAGUAUAAACCACCCCAGAGCUGUGGAGAUGAUGUCCCCUUCUUCUUGCAAAAGCCUGUUCAGUAUGGAACAGCCGCACCACAAGGGCUGUGGAGCAGUAGAUAAGGCCAGCUGUGUGCUACCCAGCCCCACCAGGCAGCAUGGGGGAUGCAGCCAGGGGAAGCUCCCUG